GGGUUCGGAGGUUAUGAAUAAGAAGGGUUCGGUGAAUGCGCGUAUGAAACUAGGGGGUUCGGUACCUCAAAAAAGGUUAAGAACCACUGAUACAGAGAGAGAGAA
Molecule: long non-coding RNA, 105 nt
Organism: Poecilia latipinna (sailfin molly)
Lineage: Eukaryota; Metazoa; Chordata; Actinopteri; Cyprinodontiformes; Poeciliidae
Exons: 4
Source: RefSeq, a predicted model, not a curated record